Molecule: ribosomal RNA, 291 nt
Filed under: uncultured bacterium
Lineage: Bacteria
Description: partial 16S ribosomal RNA
Rfam family: Bacterial small subunit ribosomal RNA
Source: RNAcentral
GGAUUAGAUACCCUGGUAGUCCACGCCGUAAACGAUGAGAACUAGGUGUUGGGGGCCCGUCCCUUGGUACCGCAGCUAACGCAUUAAGUUCUCCGCCUGGGGAGUACGGCCGCAAGGCUAAAACUCAAAGGAAUUGACGGGGGCCCGCACAAGCGGUGGAGCAUGUGGUUUAAUUCGAUGCAACGCGAAAAACCUUACCUACCCUUGAAAUCUUCGGAAUCUUGUAGGAAUACAAGAGUGCCUUCGGGAACCGAAUGACAGGUGUUGCAUGGCUGUCGUCAGCUCGUGCCG